Molecule: ribosomal RNA, 1218 nt
Filed under: metagenome
Description: bacterial SSU rRNA
Rfam family: Bacterial small subunit ribosomal RNA
Source: RNAcentral
AUAUGCCGAGAGGUGAAACGAAUUUCGCCUGAGGAUGAGCCCGCGUCUGAUUAGCUGGUUGGUGGGGUAAUGGCCCACCAAGGCGACGAUCAGUAGCUGGUCUGAGAGGAUGAUCAGCCACACUGGGACUGAGACACGGCCCAGACUCCUACGGGAGGCAGCAGUGGGGAAUUUUCCGCAAUGGGCGAAAGCCUGACGGAGCAACGCCGCGUGGGGGAUGAAGGCCUCUGGGCUGUAAACCUCUUUUCUCAAGGAAGAAGACAUGACGGUACUUGAGGAAUAAGCCACGGCUAAUUCCGUGCCAGCAGCCGCGGUAAUACGGGAGUGGCAAGCGUUAUCCGGAAUUAUUGGGCGUAAAGCGUCCGCAGGCGGCCCUGUAAGUCUGUCGUUAAAGCGUGGAGCUUAACUCCAUUUCAGCGAUGGAAACUACAGGGCUUGAGUGUGGUAGGGGCAGAGGGAAUUCCCGGUGUAGCGGUGAAAUGCGUAGAUAUCGGGAAGAACACCAGUGGCGAAGGCGCUCUGCUGGGCCAUAACUGACGCUCAUGGACGAAAGCCAGGGGAGCGAAAGGGUUUAGAUACCCCUGUAGUCCUGGCCGUAAACGAUGAACACUAGGUGUCGGGGGAAUCGACCCCCUCGGUGUCGUAGCCAACGCGUUAAGUGUUCCGCCUGGGGAGUACGCACGCAAGUGUGAAACUCAAAGGAAUUGACGGGGGCCCGCACAAGCGGUGGAGUAUGUGGUUUAAUUCGAUGCAACGCGAAGAACCUUACCAGGGUUUGACAUCCUGCGAAUCCCUUGGAAACUUGGGAGUGCCUUCGGGAGCGCAGAGACAGGUGGUGCAUGGCUGUCGUCAGCUCGUGUCGUGAGAUGUUGGGUUAAGUCCCGCAACGAGCGCAACCCACGUCUUUAGUUGCCAGCAUUCAGUUGGGCACUCUAGAGAGACCGCCGGUGAUAAACCGGAGGAAGGUGUGGAUGACGUCAAGUCAUCAUGCCCCUUACAUCCUGGGCUACACACGUACUACAAUGCUACGGACAGAGGGCAGCAAGCUCGCGAGAGUUAGCAAAUCCCAUAAACCGUGGCUCAGUUCAGAUCGUAGGCUGCAACUCGCCUACGUGAAGGAGGAAUCGCUAGUAAUCGCAGGUCAGCAUACUGCGGUGAAUACGUUCCCGGGCCUUGUACACACCGCCCGUCACACCAUGGAAGUUGGCCAUGCCCGAC